Molecule: long non-coding RNA, 1069 nt
Filed under: Gouania willdenowi (blunt-snouted clingfish)
Lineage: Eukaryota; Metazoa; Chordata; Actinopteri; Blenniiformes; Gobiesocidae
Description: lncRNA (ENSGWIG00000021641.1)
Source: RNAcentral
GUCUCAAUACGGACGAGCCACCAAAGAAACCUUCUCUCCAGCAGGAAACCACCUCUGAUGCGGAGCUCGUCUCCACGUCAGAGGACACUGGUGACGCCCCUGAACCAGCAAAGGAAGAGGUGGAGCCACAACGUUACGUGAUGCCCGUGGUACCGGCCGAAGCCGACGCCCUCCUCACUCUGAUGGACGUGUGCACCUCUGCUGAGGCCAGGCUGCCAGAGAGCGUGCCACAGGAAGUAGCACCGGUGUUAGCUCUUCAGGACGCUGACAUGACGAUGAAGGAGGCGGCCCUGACGCUGCUCUCCAUGGAUCCUGACAGCACGGUGUCCUGUGACCUGAUCAGCCCUGACGCUAAGGAAGAAGAGUCCACGGAAAGCCCGAUGGACACGGCUGGACCUGAGGAGGAUGACGGUAGUCAAACGGCCUCGACCAAAGGAGCUGAAACUGCACACGUACCAGAUGAGAAAGUGCUCACAUCGACAGAGAAUGAAGCAGUAGCAGAUGUGGGCGUGUGUGAAGGUAAUGAACUAGAGGCGAUGACGGCAGACAGCACAGUGACUAUUGAGUCUCAACCUCCAACACUGGUGUCUGAAGUGACCAGUGAGCAUGAGCCAACAGAGCGACUUCCUGUAAUGACCCUAGCCCUGAAAGAAGAUGAAAAUGCAGAAGAGGAAAACGAAGCUCCGAUGGACAAAAAUACUGGUGAAGCUGAGGGUCCUGCAAUAGAGGAGGAAGCUGUUUCAGCAGAGAACUUAAAUCCAGAGCCUAUAAACAACAGCAUUCCUGAGGAGGAGACAAUGAAGGAGGUCAGAGAAGCUGAGUCCAGUCAAGUCGAGCCAAUCGAUUUUUCUUCCAGGUCAGACAGUCAGCAGAAGGAAAAGAACUCCAACCUUUCUGAAAAAGAAGAAAAAAUGGAAGAAGGUGAGAGAUCUAAAGAAAACCCGCCCAGUCAGGAAGAAAGCGGUGAUAAGACGGAGAACAAGACGACGAAAGAAGCCACUGAGGUCAAGGAGCUUUUCAUUCAUUUUUUCAUUGAUUUAUUUAGCACACAUUUAAGAAAAAUCAACAU